UCGAGAAUCUUCGGCAAUGGGCGCAAGCCUGACCGAGCGACGCCGCGUGGAGGACGAAGGCCUUCGGGUUGUAAACUCCUGUCGAGGGGGAGGAAGGGGCGCGAGCCCUUGACCGAUCCCUGGAGGAAGCACGGGCUAAGUUCGUGCCAGCAGCCGCGGUAAGACGAACCGUGCGAACGUUAUUCGGAAUCACUGGGCUUAAAGCGCGUGUAGGCGGGCCGGCACGUCCGUCGCUGAAAGCCCCCGGCUCAACCGGGGAAGUGGCGUGGAUACGACCGGCCUGGAGGGGGGUAGGGGGACCUGGAACUUCCGGUGGAGCGGUGAAAUGCGUUGAGAUCGGAAGGAACGCCCGUGGCGAAAGCGAGGUCCUGGACCCUUUCUGACGCUGAGACGCGAAAGCCAGGGGAGCGAACGG
Molecule: ribosomal RNA, 415 nt
Filed under: uncultured bacterium
Lineage: Bacteria
Description: bacterial SSU rRNA
Rfam family: Bacterial small subunit ribosomal RNA
Source: RNAcentral